Molecule: long non-coding RNA, 683 nt
Filed under: Rattus norvegicus (Norway rat)
Lineage: Eukaryota; Metazoa; Chordata; Mammalia; Rodentia; Muridae
Description: long non-coding RNA NONRATT017567
Source: RNAcentral
UCACAUUUUCCAUUUGGCUUAGGUAGAGGCUCCCAUUUCUGUCCCCAUCGGGCCCAGUCUCGUUCUGCAGCCUCUCAAGCCGCAGUCCAAACCUACAGCACCCCCAGACCCUGUGACAGGGACCCUGCAGGGACUCAGACACCUAUAAUACCUCUAUCUGCCUCUCCUCCACAUACUGUAGACCAGCUAAUGAACAUAGUUGAUUGACAACCUCCGCAGUAUCAGGGAAAGGAACCUGCAUGGGCGUGGUCCCGGCUUCCCACCAAAACCUGUGUAACACCACCCAGAUGUUCAGCUCUAACUACAGAUAUCUGCUAGCCCCAUCGGAAGGGUGGUGGGCCUGUAAUUCCGGUUUGACCCCUUGUGUUUCUCUGGCCGUGUUAAAUCAAAAUGCCUCCUUUUGUGUCCUUGUACAGUUAGUGCCUGUAGAGAGCGGCUAAAGAUGGCUCCGACAUCCGGUGGUCGUUGGUGAUAAACACCUGCAAUGCGCAUGUGUUGGCAUUUCUCCGGCAGUUAUCAGACUGGAGUGAUAUUCAUGCUAAUAAGGUAUUUCAUACUCCACCAAUCCCCAGAGGACAAGUUUACUGUCACAGCCUGUCUUGUAUUUAAGGUGAGUGCCUUUGUUCCUCGGGGUCCCCGAAUCAAGAAUGAGGUGUUCCUGCAAUAAAAGCUGUUGAGAAGAA